Molecule: ribosomal RNA, 593 nt
Filed under: uncultured bacterium
Lineage: Bacteria
Description: bacterial SSU rRNA
Rfam family: Bacterial small subunit ribosomal RNA
Source: RNAcentral
GCAAGUCGAGGGGUAACGGCAGUAGCUUGCUACUAGACGACGACCGGCGCACGGGUGAGUAACGCGUAUGUAAUCUGCCUUGUACAGAGGGAUAGCCCAGAGAAAUUUGGAUUAAUACCUCAUAGUAUUACUGAAUCGCAUGAUUUGGUAAUUAAAGCUCCGGCGGUACAAGAUGAACAUGCGUGACAUUAGCUAGUUGGUAAGGUAACGGCUUACCAAGGCCACGAUGUCUAGGGGUUCUGAGAGGAUGAUCCCCCACACUGGUACUGAGACACGGACCAGACUCCUACGGGAGGCAGCAGUGAGGAAUAUUGGUCAAUGGACGCAAGUCUGAACCAGCCAUCCCGCGUGAAGGAUGACUGCCCUAUGGGUUGUAAACUUCUUUUAUAUGCAAAUAAACCUGCUUUCGUGAAAGUAGCUGAAGGUAGCAUAUGAAUAAACACCGGCUAACUCCGUGCCAGCAGCCGCGGUAAUACGGAGGGUGUAAGCGUUAUCCGGAUUUAUUGGGUUUAAAGGGUACGUACGCGGUAAUAUAAGUCAGUGGUGAAAUCCUGCAGCUCAACUGUAGAACUGGCAUUGAAACUGUAUCACUU